This is a non-coding RNA of Aedes albopictus (Asian tiger mosquito), 46 nucleotides long. The record is from Rfam. Lineage: Eukaryota; Metazoa; Arthropoda; Insecta; Diptera; Culicidae.
CCAACGGUCCUUUUCAGGACCACAGAAAGUCUCGACGCUCGACUAU